GGCGUAGGCCAGCAGCUACAGCUCCGAUUCGACCCCUAGCCUGGGAACCUCCAUAUGCCACAGGAGCGGCCCAAGAAAUGGCAAAAAGGCAAAAAGCCAAAAAAAAAAAAAAAAAAAAAAAAAAAAGGAAUCAAUUUACUUUUUAUUUGUUCCUUUUUUUGCCUUGGCUUUUGUAAGAAUUUAUUUCUGCUACACAGACCUAGAUCUGUCAUAUUAUAAAGGAAAAUUCUAAAGAAUCAUUUAAAAUAAAAUUCUCAUGGCACAUCUUAAGUAAAAGUUUCAAAUUUUAAAAGAGAAUUACAAUUCCUGUUUAAAAAAUGACCAAAAAAUCUUAUCUCUAUAACCAGGACCAGCUCUGUAAUUUUUGAGGUUUAAUGCAAAAGAAAAUGGAGAGUGUCUUAUUCACAAUUUAUAACAAAUUCCAAGACACCAACAACAAAACAUUAAGCCCAGGUCAAUGUUCUUCCAGGCACAGGCCCAGGAAACAGAUGCAUGAAAUCAUCCCCAUCCCAAACCCUGAUGGUCUGUAUUAUUUGUAAAGGAAAUUAAUUUUGAUGAGUUGGGGAAGACCCUAGUUAAAGUUCUAUGCAUGAAGCAUAUACCUUCUGGGACAUUCUAUGCUCAUAUAUGUAAUUAUGGGCUUGUGCACAUUUAUCAAUAUGUCUGCUCUGUUUUAUGAAGAAAAUAAAAGAUGCAAAAAUACAGAAUUUGGUACAGGGACAGACUUUUUCACCCAGAACAUUGUGUCUUAGCAGAGCACUCAAAGGCACAGCCUCACAUGCAGCAUUUAAUCUGAGGUUCAGAGGAGAUGGAGUGAUCAUCUGGUUUUUCUUAGGUUGGAGAUUUGACCAGAGGAAAGGGAGUCAUUGUGAACCCAUAUUGCCCCAACCCACCCACCAUGAGGCUUCACAGUAUUGUGAAACCCAUGGACUGGGAAACAGCUGGCCUGGGACACUCCAUAAUACACAUUUAUGUGAGUUAGCUUGGGUUCCUGAUUGUUGUUGCGCCACCUAACUUAUACUCCUCAUCCUUUUCCUUUGCCACAAGGAGGAUCAGGCUGACAUAAUGUAGGCUCUGGAACUAGCAGUUUAUCUCCCUCUCCUCCUCUCUCUAUCUACCCCAAUCCUUUCUUUCUGUCUGUAUGUCCCUCCCUCCAUCUCCCUGUCUCUCUUACUCUUUCUUUAUCUCUCUUCAUCUCUUUAUAGAGUACAUAUUUGAGAUUUGGAUUGCCAUGUUUCAUUCUCGAGAGAUGGGAAGAAUAGUUAUAAAUUUUCUUACAUGAGAAGUGGUAAUUUUAUAUUUACGUGUGUGUGUGUGUAUAUAUAUAUAUAUAAUGUGUGUAUGUGUAUAUGUGUAUAUAUGUGUGUGUGUAUAUAUAUGUAUAUAUGAAGUUUAUUGGUUUGCAUUCACUCCAGGCAUUUGACUAUUUUAAAGUUUAUCUGCUCUUAAUCAGUUGUGGCAGCAUAUUGGAAGAGUUAAUUUUUUUAUAUGUGUCACAUCAAUCAAACAUUUAGGAUCCUUGGGGCACCUUCUUACAAAGACCCCAUAAGCAAGUUUGAGGCUUUUUUCCAGUACUUACUUGGCAUUCCUUGGGAGUGAGUUCUGAUUAGAAAAAUAUCUAUCCCUUUUCUUUCUCUUUAAUUAGUAAAACUCUUCAGUCUUAAAAAGAUGUUUUUGGAAUAACUGAAAUAGAAAAUAAAAUUUCUAGAAAUAGAGGUAUGAUAUGUACAAAAUAAGGAGCACAAAUCUGUCAUUUAAAAAACCCACCAGUUUUUAAGAAGCAUAUGUAUUUUUUAGUGUGGUAUUCUGGGUGGAAAAUCUACAGUAGUUGAUAUUUAUGUGACAUUUUCUCAUUAAACUUGCAAUGGAAGGAAUUAUUAUUCCAAUUUCUCUUGAUAAUACUCUUUGAGCAAAAAUAUAAUAUUCAAACUCAUAUAUCCAUAACUUUUUUUGUCUACUUGACAUGAAUUUAAAGACUCAAUUUUCUACUAACUUCAUUCAUGUUUGUUAAAAUAAGAAUGAGCCUUCCUAAUUGCUUCUCGCUAUUAGCACCUCAGUUUGUGGGGCUCUCAUCACCUGUGAAUCAUGAUAUCAUGCUGUGUGGCAUGUUUCCCAGAAAUGCUCAGACAAACAUUUUCUUACUGUCCUUGUUCUCAGUUUACUAUUUCAAGCUUGGUUGUUAAGGUUGAAGCACCUGGUCUAUCUGGACUAAGCCUCAGUGGUUUGCUGGAAGUUUGCAGAGCACCAAAUCCAAUUGGCAAAGAGGGGGAAGCUCAUCCCUAUAGCACCUGGAUGUCAUCCUGGAUGCAGAUUCUUGGGAAGUCUCCACCUCAGCUAUCCAGACACUAGUGCACAUACAAAUAAUCUAGAAGCUUGUUAAAAUACAGGUUCUCAUUCUGCAGCUCGAGAAGAGAUUGAGACUCUAUAUUUCUAGCAAGUUCUUGAGCACUUUUAAUGGUUCCACUUAGUGCAAAUCCUUUUGGGUAGCAAGCCAUCCACUUCUAUUAUGUAUUUAUGGGAGGAAACAAUACUCACAAUUCAAAUCUGUAACACAUGUCCCACUCUUUUCUUAUUCCAUCUUUACUUAAUUAUAAGGAUGAUGUUUGUUCAUCUCUUUGGUUUCUUCCCUCACUUGAUACUAAGUGGAAUGAUGAUGUGGAUGGAUAGUUUUCUUGUUUAUGGGCUUAGGUUAUAGGUAUAUCAUGGUGUGAGAUGGAAAUUUAAUCCACCUGCAAUAUGAUGCCUGUGUGUGCUUUGAGGAACCAUGGCACUUUUCAGUGUUAUUUUUGGUGGCUAAGGAAAAAUAUCAUAGAGUAAGAUGGAUCAUUUAUUUGCCCAUAUGUUUAUUUAUGGGUACUUCUCCCCUUUACAUUGUCUGGUGAUAAACAUGCAGUGUUUAAAAAUGCAGUUAGAAAUAACUAUUAAAAAUUUAAAAAUAAAUAAAAUUUUAAAAAUUAAAAAAAAAUGCAAUUAGAAAAUGGCAGCAUUGAGUAGGUAGUACUCUUUGGAGUCAGGUUUAAGGAGAAAUGGAAUAUAUAGAGGGAGGGGAAAGAGCUAAAGUGGAUGACCAGAAGAAUGAUUGAAUCCAACUCUGUUUCUUGGGUUCUUGCACAGCCUGCUGGGUUUUAGAAGAUGUCAAACAGCUCUUUCAGCUUUCAAUAUGCUUUUCCCCACAGUGUUCAGGAAUAGUUCAUGAGGCCAGGUAAGAAAAUGACCCAAGACUGUGUCUCCACUCCCCUCUCUCUUCUAGCUGGGAAGAUUGCUCUUCCCCCUUCAUCCUUGAGCAAAAGCCAACCUGCAAACACUCUCACUCCUUUUCCUUUCAAAUCACUCAAAUUUUCUGAAUCUCCACAGUGAACAUGUUCUGGAUUUCAGCCAAAGACCUCAUUUCAAGAGAGAAAAAGUAUUCCAGACUUUUUUUAAAGAAAAAGUAACAACCUCAUGCUUAAGAAAAACCACUCUGAGCACUUGUUACAGAAUGGUAAAGCACAUUUUCUUUAGGACUAUUGCAGUAUAUGUAGGGGCCACUGAAGUAGGGUCUGAACACAGCAUGCAAAGUGGAGGUUUGUAGCCAUGAAGCAGGUGAAGAACAGUGGGUGGAAAAUUGCUAAGAGGAAGUGUCAGGAGUGAGAGGUUUCUGGCCAAACCAACCUUAUAGAGGGGGCACUUGCUGAAGGCAGUCCGGUGUGAUUAGGUCAUCACCUUGGGGUUGGUUGGCAGUGAGAAACCUGAUCAGUUAUAGAAGGUUAUUCAAGUAUCAAGGAUGAAGGAAGCCUGAGUAGCAUGCGAUCCAAGAGAGAAUCUUUAUGAUGCUUCUACUCAGAGAACACUGCCCCCUUGCAUUUUAAUACAUUAGUGACUGUAUUAUAUGUAUCAUUUUAUAUUCUGACUUUUCAUUCGAUACUUUAUAGUGACCAUUUUUCUAGGUUUAAAAAAAACCUUUAAAAUAUCCAUUUUAUAAUAUUUAACCAUCUAUAUUAAGCUUUGGAGCAAAACACCUUGCAGAAGGUGGCAUAGGCUUCAUUCAGUGAAUGGCCAGCCUGAGGUUGGGAUCUGUCCCGUGGAAAGGGCUUCUAGUUUCCAAUCACGUUAGGAUGCUAUAGACUAGCAGGAGCCUAAUAUAGAAAGAUUGAGAUCGAGAUUAUACCUCUGUCUGUCCAUCCAUCCAUCAUAAAUCCACCUACCCAUCUACCAGUAUCACGAUCCAUCCAUCCAUCCAUCCAUCCAUCCAUCCACUCACCCAUCCAUCUAUCCAUCUUUGCAACCAUCUGUAUAUUUGCUAAUGGGCCUUUCUUUAAGACAACAUAGUAGAAGGAAGGGGAAACACUGAUUAACAACCUUUUUAAGGUAACUAAUGAGUAUUGGAAAAUUGCUCUGCAGAAAUCUGUGCUAAUUUAUGCUCACUCCAAUUGUCCUGCUACAGCUUGAAGUAUUAUGAUAGAUUUUCGUCUUUGCUCAUUUGCUAGAGGGGGAAGUGCUGUUUAAUUUUCAGCUCUUUGAUUGCUAGGGAGGUUGUAUAAUUUUGUGUUUACUAAUCACUUGAAAUUACACCAUUAUGAAUUUUCUAUUCUGUCCUUAACCCUAAAGCAUUCCCAUAUUGUGGUGUUUAUAAAAACUUGCAAUUUUAUUAUCUAAUUUUCUUGAAAAAUCACAAUUCUUUCCAUUCAAGAUUUUUAAAAUCUAUUAUUCUGAGAAGCAUAUCUAAUUUGUAGACUCAUGUUAAUAAAGACUGUUGUAAUUCUUACAGCAUUUUGAAAAGUCAUAAUGAUGCAAAAAUUUUGCCUGUGUAUGUGAGUUAUUUUUCUUCUUUGCUUUCUGGGAGGCUGAAGGGUAAAAACAAGGGGCAAACAAAUUUGUCAUAUUUGUUUAGAAGACUGUUUUGUAUUUUAAUCCCUUUGACAACUUGAGUUGUUUUGUCAAUUGAUAGAGUUGUAAAGUAGCUUUUGUGGUGAAUGACACCUCAUUUUCUUGCCUUCUAUCUCCGUUUUUUUCUGUUCUUCUUUUAAAAACACCACAGAUUCUACUGAUGUUAGUCUGGAUGGAAGAAACCUUGUUAUUGUUUUCAGAAGUCAAGCACUGAAUUAUUUCUACUUUAUAUAAUGAUCUUCUCAACUUGUGUUUUGGGUAUUUCUUUAGGGCAUGCUCUGUGCCAUCCAUUGAGCUGAGGGCAGGGCAUGCAGUGGUGAGUAGGUGACAUCCCCACCCCUCAACAAGGAGACAGACAGUCAACAGAUACAAUGGGGCUGCAAGAAGCGGCAUAACUGAUGAAAUUGCUUUGCCCACAAAGGACCCACUGCUAUGAGAAAGUAUAACAAAAGACACUGAAUAAGGCCAGCAGGGAGAGUUUCCCUGAUAUUCACAAAUGAGAAGUGAAGAUAAGUCAAUUAGACAAGACUUAUUCAUCUUAUAUCUGAAAACUUGGACCCUUAGACCAAUGUCUCAUCACUCCCCUUCUCCAGCCCCUGGCAACCACCAUUCUGCUCUUUGCUGCUGUAACUUCUGUAGUUUUAGUUUCCACAAGGGAGACUCAGUGCACACAGGAUGAUGGAAUUAAUGAUACUGUAUUGCAGACUUGAAAUGUACUUAGAGAGUAGAUCUCGUGUUCUCGCCACACAUGCACCCACAUGCACAUGCUAUGUGAAGUGACUCAUGUGUUAGUGAGUGUGAUUACGAUCAUCACUUGACAUGUUUAUGUAUGUCAUAACAUCACAUUGUUCACCUUGAACAUGGACAAUUUUUAUUUGUUAAUCAUUCUACGAAGCUGGGGAAAAUGUUAGGCUAAAGAGUGAGAGAAAAUAAGUUAGGCCAAUGAGGAUGGACUGAGAUGAGAUUGGUUAGGGCCCUACAAGCUGUAUGAAAGAUGGUGGGCCUUAUUCUCAUGCAGUGGAAAAGCAACGAUAGUGUGGGGAUUGGAAGCCAACAAUCUGGGCUUUAUUUGUUUAUGAAGAUGGAUUGCAUUACUAUCACUUGAUAAAGGAAGUGGCUUGAUGCAAAGACCAGUUAGCAGGUUGUGUCCAUCAACUAGGUGAGUUUGCAUGGGGAUGUUGGUGGGAGAGUUAUGAAUAGAACAGAGGUGAUUUAGAAGGUAUAAUUGUCAGAACCUGGUAGCAUAAACUAAUUUAAUGUUUUCACACAUUUGCAUGAAUAAAUCAACUUCUGUAAUAGAUCCUUGGCCUUCACACACACAACAGGUAAUAGAAAAAAUAUAACUUUUUAAAAAUUUCACUUAUAGGAAAAAAUUAAAUACAAAGACCACAGGAAAAAACAGAUAAAGUAGCAAUAACUGUUUUCAAAUUUUGUUAUGCUGGGAAUAACAUUAGGAGAUCUUCUCUGAAAUGUAUAAGUUUAAUAUUUGUGGAAAGGUACUGAAGAUGGGAUUUCAUAGCUAUCCGCAGGGUUAGGGAGUUUCUUUUUGAGCUAUAAGAUAAAGUAAAAAGGCAUGAGGUGGAGCCACCUAAAGCCCUUGGUGAGUUAGUUUCUGGAUCCUUCCUGCAGGCUUUUAUCAUUUCAUUUCAUUUCAGAUCAUUAGCUAAGAUUUGGAAGUAAGUUCACAAGUGGACCUCACAGUCUGAAGAGAGAAGGGCUGGAUAAGCUGCUAAAUUGUGAUGCUUAUUGUGGGUGGGGAUUUCUAAGUUUUAUGGUUUUUUUUUUUGCUUUUUGUUUUUUUUUUUAAGCGAAGAUGCAGCCACACCACAAGUUCAAAUUGCCCAGGACUCAUUCUAAGGAUCAAAACAGUCUGAGGCUUCCCUGUGAAAGUGCCCCCAGCAGAUGAGGGACAGGUUUCUAGAGGCCAAGUUCCUGAGCAAAGUUUUAAAAUGUAGGCACAUGAAAAUAAGUUGUCAUUAACCCUGUGCUAUGAUAAAAUGACAACAACAAAAACUGACG
This 6885-nucleotide long non-coding RNA is filed under the name Sus scrofa (pig). RNAcentral describes it as "lncRNA (ENSSSCG00000055530.1)". The record is from RNAcentral. Lineage: Eukaryota; Metazoa; Chordata; Mammalia; Artiodactyla; Suidae.